This 56-nucleotide transfer RNA is filed under the name Alligator mississippiensis (American alligator). The record is from Rfam by way of RNAcentral. Lineage: Eukaryota; Metazoa; Chordata; Crocodylia; Alligatoridae.
UGGUUCAGUUUUAGGAUCCCUGUCUACUACACAGGAGACCUGGGUUUGAUUCCCAG